UACGUAGGGUGCAAGCGUUGUCCGGAAUUAUUGGGCGUAAAGAGCUCGUAGGCGGCUAGUCACGUCGGAUGUGAAAACCCGAGGCUCAACCUCGGGCCUGCAUUCGAUACGGGCUGGCUAGAGUACUGCAGGGGAGACUGGAAUUCCUGGUGUAGCGGUGAAAUGCGCAGAUAUCAGGAGGAACACCGAUGGCGAAGGCAGGUCUCUGGGCAGUAACUGACGCUGAGGAGCGAAAGCAUGGGGAGCGAACAGG
Molecule: ribosomal RNA, 253 nt
Filed under: uncultured bacterium
Lineage: Bacteria
Description: partial 16S ribosomal RNA
Rfam family: Bacterial small subunit ribosomal RNA
Source: RNAcentral